AAAAGUGACCCAACACCAAGCAAACAGAGACAACUGCACUGGAACCUACAGUUCAGUGGUACGUUCAGAGUGGAGGGAGUGAGCCUGAGACGCUGCAGGAGGCGUCAGGCAGCUCAGCAGCUCAGCAGGGGAGUGUGAGGACAAACAAGCGGAGGGCAGCAGGACUCCUCUCUCUCUCUCUCUACACUUCAACCUGCCUCCACAGUGGAGUCAGAAGAGCAUCGCUGAGGAGAUCAAAUGGCUAAUGCAGGAACAGGACAUCUCCUCUGGGGAACUACCUCCUGUCAAACCCAAGAAGCACCAGCAAAGGACAGAAUACCUGAGAGCAGGCCAUUACCCAGAGCAACCGCACCCAGCAGAACUCCCCAUCUCCUCCAACACAGAGGAAAGCUCAGAACUAAAACAAAACAUAAAGGCAGUCAAACACUCAAAGGUUAAGACACAAGUUUAAGACUAAGCAGUGAACUGGUUGCAUCCUUGCAGUCCUUUGUUACAUUCCCACAGCAUCGGGUUGAAGCUAGCAGUCUACAGGAUAACAUCACUCCUCGAGCAGACAGGAACACACCCAUAGCAAUGACAGGAAUCAGAGCAUUGGUUCAAAUCCCCAGGCUCACUAACUUCCUGUUCUGUUCGUCUGUCAGCAUCAGGUGAUUCAAGCGAAGAUGGAUGGUGGUUUGACCUUUCAGCAGGAGCGCUCAUCACUGGAGUGCUUCCUUCUGCAGCUCGCACAAAAAGAGAGAGAGCUGCAUCUAAGGGAAGAACAAUUACGAGAGGUGCAAAAUCAAGACCUUGCAGCCCUCACAGAGUGUUAAAGAGCAAGGUUACCAGCUUCAAAGGAGGUGAUGAAAUUGUUCCUCCAGAUUUAGAAUAAGGAGAGUAUAAAUGUUUUCAUCUUUCUUUGUGUGAAAUAAACCUGACAUUUUUUCCUGCCAUAAAAAAAAAAAAACACUUAAAUCAUUAAUCAUAAUUAUUUUCAUUACAGUUAGCUGCCAUAGUGAAAUCAUUGUGAUAUACAGCCAUAUUAAACUGUAACUAAAUGUUUUUUUCACUACAAAAACAGUUGUUACACAAACACAUAAUGACUGGUUGUUUUGUAAGCAGUUCAUUUACAUGAACCUGUCUAAAUGAACCGGCUUAAUGAAUUGGACUUACCAAAGCUAUUUAAGAUUGACUGAGAGGAAGAUAGCAUAUAUGUAGCAAUGUAGCAAAAAAAGAAAAAUUGCGUUGAAUAGAAGAAGAAAAAAAUGUAACCAUUUCCAUGCUUUGAAAAAUAAAUUUUAGUUAGUAGUUUUGGUAUGUAGUUACUGCAUCCAGUAACCUUUGCAGACUCUGCCUAAAAUCUGAGCAAGCAAUUCAUCCCAGUUCUGAACUGUUCAGUUCUAAUUCUAUAGCUACACCAUGCUGAGGAGGCCAGUAACAUAUGAAAGUGGACUUUUGGUGAAGCUUGGGACCCUGUGACUUAAGUGAAACUCAAGCUGAUAGAGAAAGAGAUGAAGAAACAGGAGAUUCUGAUUCAGGGUUACCAUCAGGUUCGGCGUAAAAACACGUCUGAAACUUCUUUCUAAUGAUUUUAACAAUAAAGGAGAAUGAGAAGCUUUAUCUGCAAAUGAAAGCGCUCCAAGCUCAAAGCAAACAAAACGAGGAGGCUUUGUUCAUGGAGAACCAGAAACUUCUCACUGAGCUGGCCUUCACCAGGGACCAACUGAACAUGAAGAUUAUUCAAAGAACCAUCGGAGGGAGAAGCAUUUCUGACCAAAGCUUCAACAUUGCAGAGUUGACCAGUCAGCAGUACAUAAUAUUAUCAGUUCUGUUCCCAAAAUCUAAUAAGCCACAUUUUAAAUGCACUCAUCUCCUGAUACAAAAGUUUUUGAAUGUAGAAAAAGGAGCAGCGACUGCAAGACAAGAUCCGCUGGCUAAAACAAGCCCUGCAUGUAGACAUGGAGAUGGUGAGGAAAGGGCGGGACUCUACAUCAGGUGAUAAAGGUUUCGAACUAAAGAUGCUCCAGGAGAAACAUCGGGAGGAAGUCACAGAGCUGAAGAAGAGACUGUAGUGGUAUGCUGAGAACCAGGAACUACUAGACAAAGAUGCAGCCAGACUCUGAGCUGCCACCGCUGAGAAGGUGGAAAAGCUAAAAAUGGAGGUCAGCAGGAGGGCCAAUGAGCAACAAAGAAAGGCAAAAGAGAGAACGAGCGAAGCUAAAAGAACCCAGACCUGGAACAACGGGUCAGACACAGCCUCUCCACAUAUUUUUGUUGUCUCAUUCUGCAGGUACUGCUCAUUCGGGGCACGUUCUUUUUGUGUUCUAUUUCCUGAGGUGGAAUUAUCCAACCGUGUCUGUGAGUAACAGACCAUCUGCCUGGAUAGUCAGCUUUCCAAGCACUUUCUGCUUGCCACAUCCUCUUCAUGUUACAACUCAUUUCUUAGACAGAUAUGGAUCAUCUGGAGGACUAAAUUAGUAGCUUUGUAUACAACUGGCUCAACGCUCAAACAGAUGGAAGAGCUCUUGAGACGCAGUCAUCCAAACUCCCUGCCAUCCCUGAUCUUGCUGCUUCUUCUACCGGCACAGAAAAUAAUGGAUAAGAUGUUUGUCCCCCAACUGCCCCUCAUUCCAACCAGACAGCAGCUCUGUGGAGAGACAUGUCCAUCAAUUGGUGGCGGAGCUAGAAGGCUGCAAUGAAGCAGCCACACGCAGGCUCAGAACCAUGGAACAACAGUAUCACAGAAUCAAAAUCACAGUGCAGCAUUUACAGGGGCUAGUAAAGGAGCUCCAGAGAGCCAAAGAUGCUCUGGCUGUGUCUAAGAUCAGAGAGGAAACCCUGCAAAAUCAGGUUAUUGCAGACACAAGGCGGGUGGUGGAACAGGAGCAGCCGGGUGAGGUGAAGCGCUGGAAGAGACUCGCUGUAGUCAGUCCCGUCCAUGAACACAGCCACACAUACCUGCCCCUCCGAUCCUGAGCUGUGUUUGCGCCUCUCAGAACAGUCCAGGAUGUGCGCAUACAUAUUUCUAUGACUCUGGCUAGCAGAAUUCCUGUGACAGCACUAAUCAUUGUUCGGCUAAUUUUGUGGAAAUAUUUAUAAUUAUGUAUUGUAAAGAUUAUUUCAUUAUUGUCAAGGAACAUGCAGGGUGUGUAACAUCAAAUUUGGCAUUAGUAAUUGCAGCACAUAUCCCAAUGUUAUUUUGUAUUAAAGUUAAUUAUUAUUUGGACAUUAGGUCCCGUUUUUCUGCUUCAUUGAUUUUACACCAUCCGCUUGAGCAGAAUCCAGAAAACCUGAACAAACAGCAGUAAAAUUGUUGUUGAUACACCACCCACAUAAGAGUUAUAAAAAAUGUUGGAUUAAAAAGCUCAACCUAAAAGUACGUUUACACAACAAAUACUGCAGACGUCAUUAUUUAUUGCCCGCCUUAGUGCUGGGCUCAAAGGACAUGGUCUGAAUGCUAAUAAACUAC
Carassius auratus (goldfish) is the source of this 3448-nucleotide RNA transcript. It is a transcript of the gene named centrosomal protein of 162 kDa-like, with no coding region annotated. The record is from RefSeq and is a predicted model, not a curated record. The transcript is spliced from 12 exons. NCBI's taxonomy places the organism in Eukaryota, Metazoa, Chordata, Actinopteri, Cypriniformes, Cyprinidae.